AGUGAACGCUGGCGGUAGGCCUAAUACAUGCAAGUCGAACGGCAGCACAGUAAGAGCUUGCUCUUACGGGUGGCGAGUGGCGGACGGGUGAGGAAUACAUCGGAAUCUACUUUUUCGUGGGGGAUAACGUAGGGACACUUACGCUAAUACAGCAUAUGACCUACGGGUGAAAGCAGUGGAUCUUCGGGCCUUGCGCGACUGAAUGAGCCGAUGUCGGAUUAGCUAGUUGGCGAGGUAAAGGCCCACCAAGGCGACGAUACGUAGCUGAUCUGAGAGGAUGAUCGGCCACACUGGAACUGAGACACGGUCCAGACUCCUACGGGAGGCAGCAGUGGGGAAUAUUGGGCAAUGGGCGAAAGCCUGAUCCAGCCAUACCGCGUGAGUGAAGAAGGCCUUCGGGUCGUAAAGCCCUUUUGUUGGGAAAGAAAAGCAGCAGGAUAAUACCCGGCUGUUCUGACGGUACCCAAUGAAUAAGCACCGGCUAACUUCGUG
RNAcentral lists this ribosomal RNA (492 nucleotides) under uncultured bacterium. RNAcentral describes it as "partial 16S ribosomal RNA". It matches the Rfam family "Bacterial small subunit ribosomal RNA", at positions 29 to 507 of the family's 1533-position model. The record is from RNAcentral.